AUUGAACGCUGGCGGCAGGCCUAACACAUGCAAGUCGAACGGUAACAGGAAGCAGCUUGCUGCUUCGCUGACGAGUGGCGGACGGGUGAGUAAUGUCUGGGAAGCUGCCUGAUGGAGGGGGAUAACUACUGGAAACGGUAGCUAAUACCGCAUAAUGUCGCAAGACCAAAGAGGGGGACCUUCGGGCCUCUUGCCAUCGGAUGUGCCCAGAUGGGAUUAGCGUGUUGGUGGGGUAACGGCUCACCAAGGCGGCGAUCCCUAGCUGGGCUGAGAGGAUGACCAGCCACACUGGAACUGAGACACGGUACAGACUCCUACGGGAGGCAGAAGUGGGGAAUAUUGCACAAUGGGCGCAAGCCUGAUGCAGCCAUGCCGCGUGUAUGAAGAAGGCCUUCGGGUUGUAAAGUACUUUCAGCGGGGAGGAAGGGAGUAAAGUUAAUACCUUUGCGUAUUGACGUUACCCGCAGAAGAAGCACCGGCUAACUCCGUG
RNAcentral lists this ribosomal RNA (490 nucleotides) under uncultured bacterium. RNAcentral's name for it is "partial 16S ribosomal RNA". It matches the Rfam family "Bacterial small subunit ribosomal RNA", at positions 30 to 507 of the family's 1533-position model. The record is from RNAcentral.